UAAACAGAAGCCAAUAUCUGGGCGCCUAGCUGUUAAUUAGGAAGUUGUAAAAAUUUUACCUGUUUAG
Molecule: transfer RNA, 67 nt
Filed under: Lepetodrilus guaymasensis
Lineage: Eukaryota; Metazoa; Mollusca; Gastropoda; Lepetellida; Lepetodrilidae
Description: tRNA-Asn
Source: RNAcentral